CUGAGGAGGUUGAACCCCAUGCACCAGUACAGGCUGGGGGCUGACCUGCUGGAAAGCAGCUCUGCUGAGAGGGACCUCGGAGUCCUGGUGGACGGCAAGCUGGCCAUGAG
Egretta garzetta (little egret) is the source of this 110-nucleotide long non-coding RNA. RefSeq lists it as uncharacterized. The record is from RefSeq and is a predicted model, not a curated record. Lineage: Eukaryota; Metazoa; Chordata; Aves; Pelecaniformes; Ardeidae. The transcript is spliced from 3 exons.